GGGGGAUAUUGCACAAUGGGCGAAAGCCUGAUGCAGCAACGCCGCGUGAGGGAAGAAGGUUUUCGGAUUGUAAACCUCUGUCCUCGGUGAAGAAACAAAUGACGGUAGCCGAGGAGGAAGCCACGGCUAACUACGUGCCAGCAGCCGCGGUAAUACGUAGGUGGCAAGCGUUGUCCGGAUUUACUGGGUGUAAAGGGAGCGCAGGCGGGAAGGCAAGUCAGACGUGAAAACUAUGGGCUCAACCCAUAACGUGCGUUUGAAACUGCUUUUCUUGAGUGAAGUAGAGGUAGGCGGAAUUCCGAGUGUAGCGGUGAAAUGCGUAGAUAUUCGGAGGAACACCAGUGGCGAAGGCGGCCUACUGGGCUUUUACUGACGCUGAGGCUCGAAAGUGUGGGGAGCAAAC
RNAcentral lists this ribosomal RNA (403 nucleotides) under uncultured bacterium. RNAcentral describes it as "bacterial SSU rRNA". It matches the Rfam family "Bacterial small subunit ribosomal RNA", at positions 356 to 773 of the family's 1533-position model. The record is from RNAcentral.